UUCCAUAUACUCCAGUAACACCCGUCCCAGGUAAUACUUUGGUAGCAUCUGCCAAAGAGAUAGAGCAAUGAGUUCCUUCUUCCUAAAGCUUAUGUCAGGUUGUCUUCUGUCUGCCCUUUCCUGGCCUGUCUAAGGAAGGUUGAAGUGCCUCAACAUAGAUACUUUGCCUUAUUUGACUGUGAAGAGCCGUGUACUUUUCAGCAGCUCAUGGUUUUUCCAGAUUAUUCCCUACAGAAUUCAUAGGGUUAAGCACCAGGGUAGGGAUGAAGGUUAGGAGUUCCACCGCUGGUUCCACCCAGCUUUACUCUGUGGUUCUGUUUGAGGUUUCCACCAGGCACUGCUCGACAUGACUUGGUGCAUCACAGUGGGCCUGAGUCAUGCAUCACAAACAAACCCAGCCCUUUAAGUCAAUAUCUACAGGUUACAGCUUAGUUGUAUUCCCACUGAACAAAGAUACAUACUCCAAAAGCAACCAUAGUUGCUCAUAGCUGCUGAUUUUCCUUGAAGAAUGUGCUUAAGCAGUACCCUGUCCUUUCACUACCAGAAUAGAAGCCCUGGUUAAAUGGAGUGAGAAAUGCAGACAUUGUCCAUACUGCAAUCCUUGCGAUGUGAGAGGAGGAAACAGGUUUAGCACCAAUUUAAACAUCCCAAGACACUGCUAUGGCAAGUCUGCAGUCCUGGUCAAUGGGACGUUUUUGUUCAUUCGAUGCCAUGAAUUGUAGUUGCCUCAGGACAUCUUCUGUGCUGCUGCUUUUCCUGAGACUCAUAGCAUCGCCUGGAGCCUGCUGAGACUUCCUCCAAAAGAGGCAGCAAGGAGAACUCACCGGUGGAAGAUCUGAGGUCUAAGAUCUAAGCUUGCUGUUUGAGAGAACUUCAUCAGAUAAACAAAGACACCAAGGCACAGAUUGACAAAACAGGACAGUGCACAGAAAAACUUGGUAAAGGAAAUGCCACUGUAGAUGGUGAUGAUAAUACAUAUAUCUAUUAACAUCCACAUGAAGUGAAACUGAGCUAUGUCUUUUAUGAUGG
Molecule: long non-coding RNA, 1029 nt
Filed under: Anser brachyrhynchus (Pink-footed goose)
Lineage: Eukaryota; Metazoa; Chordata; Aves; Anseriformes; Anatidae
Description: lncRNA (ENSABRG00000023207.1)
Source: RNAcentral